GCGAUGCUUGUCAUUUUAAACUGGUUUUCAAUUUAACUAUAAUUGUAACUGCAUCAUUUUCUGAUCACAUGCAAUAACCUAGCCAAGCCAUCAUAAUAAGGCGUUGUCAUGACUAUAGUCUAUGAAGGGGACGGCAUUUCACCCAGUACAAUAUCCUCACAUACUAGCCUACUGUAAAUAUUACUACAGUUCUGCUUGAUUUAAAGACAUUAAGAAACAAAGAUUUACUGGCUAUGAUAAGAUGUAUCAGAACUGUCAGUCUUAUUCAGUCAAAUUAAUACUCUCAGUAUUAUUGUCUAUAAUUUAUCAAUUGUGAAAAUUAUGAAAGAAUAGUGAUCCUCAAUUAUACAUAAUUCUUAAAUAUCAUACAAUAAAGUAUGAAAAUAACUUGCUGUUUACUAUAAUUUAUCUUUUGAUGUUUAUACUAAAAACAGAAGAUGACAGAAGACACAUCAGAUCAUGCCGAAGUGAAACAGUGAUGGAGAAAGCCCAAUCUCUGGAGGAAGACAUACAGUAUUCACAAAGAUUCAUCAGUGACUUCACCUGUGUCAGAUGGUAACUGAGAAGAAUCAGAUUCAGAAGAAUAAGAUACAGCAACAAUAAAGAUAAGCCGUGAGACCCAGCUGUCAUCAGUGAUGAUUGUGCUGCUCUUACUGUGGGACUACACCAGGUUGGACCCUCCACUCUCAAAAUGAACACUCUGUCCCAGUCAGAAGCCAGAGAUGUACAGAAGGUAUUGUUUUUCUUUUUGGAAAUCAAAUUAGGCAUGCGCUGAUAGGAAAAUUUGGGCCAAUUUUGAUAACCGAUAAUUCUUUAUAUUUGAAAGGCGAUAACUGAUACAUUGGCAGAUAAAUCUAAAUCCAAAUUUUAAUAUACAUUGAGAGCCUGAUUACAAAAACAAUAGACAGUGUCCCAAACACUUCAACAUAAAUCAAACAUAUACAGUACAGCAGUCUAGUUUGAACCAGUAUAAGAUUCCUUUACUUUUAAAAUGAUCUUUACACUACCGUUCAAAAGUUUGGGGUCAGUAAGAAUUUUUAAUGUUUUAAAAGAAGUAUCUUCUGCUCACCAAGCCUGCAUUUAUUUGAUUAAAAAUACAAA
Long non-coding RNA from Megalobrama amblycephala (Wuchang bream), 1101 nucleotides. RefSeq lists it as uncharacterized. The record is from RefSeq and is a predicted model, not a curated record. Lineage: Eukaryota; Metazoa; Chordata; Actinopteri; Cypriniformes; Xenocyprididae. The transcript has 4 exons.